UCAGAUAAGAUUUAAUGUCAGAGUUUCUAAUCAAAUUUUCUACCUUUGUAUUCCCCAGAUUCAUCUAUCCUGCUGAUCCCGAGGAAUUAUUCCACUAACCAGACAAGAUCAGGAUAGAACACCGACUUCAAAACUACUUGUGUCAUCCUUGAAGAUACUGUUGGUGGAAUUAAUCGCUUCUCCAUAUACCAGAGCACUGACAUCCUGAAUUUGUUACAUCAAAGGAUAUUGACUGAGAAGACAAAUAAUUAAAUGACCCGUAACACAGCUGGAAAACUUUACCAUAGAAGCAAUGGUACCAGGACUGGCAGCGAAGGAGAAUACCCAAGAAGAACAGAAAUUACAUGCAGGAGAUUUACAGCUAUUCAGGGUGAAAGAUGCUGUGUUGUCUUCUUACAGAACAUCCUAAAAUGUGAGUAGAACAAUAACUCUGAAUUGUGGAUAAUACUAGAACAGUGCACAGAAUUUUAAUCUGGUAUAACUACAUGUCAUUAGUAAAAGGCCUUCCUCGUUACUGUGUGCAUGGUUGCUUCCUGUCUCUUACUGGUUAGGUGAGUAAUUAGGUGAUGAUUGUAUGAUACCUUCAAUGCUCCAGUGGUUUUUACAACUGCAGAUCAUUAAAAUUCAUUUUGUUGUAAUUGGGCAAUAAUGUAAGAAGCAAUUUUACCUCUGUACCUUAGUAGUUGCCAACAUUUCUCUGAAAGACUCAGUCUUUGCCCAUACAGGAAGGUUAAACUGAUACGCUAUGAAACAUUUUCAAAGUAAUACAACUCCCAUGCAGAUAUUCUUAGUACAUAGUAGUUUCUCCACAGUUCAGUUUAAACAUGUUUGCAGUCAAAUUCUUAAUUAAGAAAGAUCUGAAGUAUAUGAUGAUCAGUUCAGAGGAUCUGUUUGUGUGGAAAUUUCUUUGCUGUUAUUUGUAGUUGGUUUUUGUGUUAAAAGAGCCCACAAGGCAAAAUCGAAAUUAAUCUUUACGUAAUAGCAGCUUCUGCUUGCUGUAGCAACUUCAGGAGUAUGAAGAACAGAGUACUUUAUCACACUUCUUUUUAGGGGGGAGGAGAGAUUUCAGGGCAACAUUUUACUCUCUAUACCAAGCUUAGAUAAUAUCCAAUCCUGGUGCACUCUCCCCUUUGAAAGUGAGAUUAUAAAUCUUUAUAAAGCUGUUCCUCACUGAGCAUGUAAGGUACAACACAGGAAUUGAAAAUGAAAACAGGAAUUUCUCACUUGCUGUGAAUAUACUUUUUAAAUUAUUAUUAUUUUUAUUUUUUUAUUCCAUAAUUUAAUUACUAAGUAUGACAUUUUUAAUACACUUUUUGUGCUGGGAGGUUGGUCCCAUAUAUCUUGUAUUAGUCAAAGGACUGGAAAACUCACUGUAGUUUAGAACGUAUGUAGAAACCUGGACUGUAAUUCACAACAAGAACUGAAAGGGUGUGUUUGACUUGGAUCUUCUAAGACACAAUUCUGAGUUCUUAAGUGCUCUUUUAUGUUUGCGUCAAUGCUGAAUAUUUUUCCCCAGAUAUAUAUCACUAAGCACAUGAGCUGUUUUGAAUGAGAAAACUGGGUGAGGAACAGCAGUUUCAUUUUAAUCAAAAUAAGUGCUUUGCAGGUUAAAUAGCUUCAAACCAAUGUUUUGAAUAAACAAAUUAAUUAAAGACCAAGGAAACUCAAUUUGCUGGUACUUUCAAAUAAAAAGUGCCGAAAUCUGGAUCCGCAUCAGGUUCAUUCAUUCCAGAAUGACUUGUACACAACUCAUGAAAUCACAAAUGUCUAAUCACAAAUGUCUGUUUUCUCUUAAAAAGACACACAAAGAAUAAAGUGAUUACUUUAUAUAUGUUCUUUCUUUAUUGUAGUAAGUUAUUAAAAGAGUAGACCUUUAUAAUGUCACUCACCUGUUUUGUGGGUGCUUUAUUUACUAUAUUAUAUGUUACACAACUUCUCUGAACACAUACUUAAAAAUAGUUCAAUGUAUAAGCAAGGCAGGAUAUCUUUUCAGCAAACACUCUAUAUUUUGAUAUUUUAAAAAUUAAUUUCCCCUUUUAUUUUAUUUCACCUGUUUGACAGUGUUUUCAAUACCAGUAACAUUUACUGAGCCCUUGGGACGUUAAUGAAGUGGGGAAAAAAAAAAAAAAAA
Anas platyrhynchos (mallard) is the source of this 2131-nucleotide long non-coding RNA. RefSeq lists it as uncharacterized. NCBI's taxonomy places the organism in Eukaryota, Metazoa, Chordata, Aves, Anseriformes, Anatidae. The record is from RefSeq and is a predicted model, not a curated record.